AUGAAUAUUCUGGCCUGGAACUGUCGAGGCUUGGGGUUGGACUCGACGGUUGGCGAAUUGCGAGACCUGAUUAGGUCCUACAACCCGGCGGUGGUUUUUUUAAGUGAAACUAAAAAGAAGGUGCGAGCGAUGGAGAAACUCAAGUGGAGUUUGGGCUUCAGAAACGGUGUUGCUGUGGAUUAUAGCGGAAGAAGUGGGGGGCUAUCACUAUGGUGGAGAGACCAUAUCCAAGUAAUGGUGAGACCGUGGUGCCAGUACUAUAUUGAUGCGCAAAUUGUUUGUGAAGGAAAGACCUCUAGAAUCACUGGAUUCUAUGGGGAACCUAACACGGAGAUGAGAAAGAAAUCUUGGGAUGCUAUUAGAUAUCUUCGGUCUCAAGAUGACCUCCCUUGGAUUUGUGUGGGAGACUACAAUGAGGCGUUAUUCCAAACGGACCAGGUGGGGGGAAACGCGAGGAGUUUUACACGCAUGGGGGACUUUCGGGACUGCUUGGCCGACUGCGGACUGGCUGACUUGGGGUUCUCCGGAUACCCGUACACUUGGAAUAACAAGAGAGAUGGUGCUGAGAAUAUCCAAGUUAGAUUGGAUAGAGCUACAUGCAAUGAUAGUUUUCUGCAGGUGUACCCGGAGACGACAGUUGAGCAUAUUAUGACGGAAGAAUCAGACCAUCAAGCAAUCCUUGUGAGAGCUAUGGAGACGACUCCAAAUGCCUCCAGGGCUACGGAUCAUCCUUUUUCGCUUUGA
Molecule: ribosomal RNA, 744 nt
Filed under: Triticum aestivum (bread wheat)
Lineage: Eukaryota; Viridiplantae; Streptophyta; Magnoliopsida; Poales; Poaceae
Description: partial small subunit ribosomal RNA
Source: RNAcentral